GUAUCAUGAGCAGCACACAUACUAAAAUUGGAAUGAUUCCGAGAAGAUUAGCACGGCCCCUGCUCAAGAUGCCACUACACUCGGGUCACCUCAAACGCUGUCU
This is a small nuclear RNA of Phodopus roborovskii (desert hamster), 103 nucleotides long. Lineage: Eukaryota; Metazoa; Chordata; Mammalia; Rodentia; Cricetidae. The record is from RefSeq and is a predicted model, not a curated record.